AAGUCGUAACAAGGUCUCCGUAGGUGAACCUGCGGAGGGAUCAUUAACACUAUUUGGCUUGCCUUCGCAUGUUCACGACAUGAGUUGCAAGUUCAAAUUUCUACACACAUUGUGAACUCGUUGGUUCCUUUCUCGUCAAACAGAAAGGAACUGGCCUAAUAUAACUGCCUCGAGGGUAAGGUAGCCGACGUGACGCAGUGGACGAUCGUUUGUUCCUUCGGGAUCAAAUCUUCGUAACUCCGCUUCCGUCCCUCGAUUGUGGUUUGAUUUUGGGAGAUGUGACACUCACACGUCUCGGCCCCCUGUUGCCUUCACCUUUAAACCAAUCGACUAAUAUAACAAAAGAGAAACGGAAACGUAUCUUUUUUCGAUAUCAAAAACUAAGCACAACUCUUAGCAACGGAUAUCUUGGUUCUC
This 417-nucleotide unclassified non-coding RNA is filed under the name fungal sp. Its description in RNAcentral is "partial internal transcribed spacer region". The stretch from base 1 to 46 matches the Rfam family "Eukaryotic small subunit ribosomal RNA", at positions 1786 to 1831 of the family's 1831-position model. Lineage: Eukaryota; Fungi. The record is from RNAcentral.